CCUACGGGUGGCAGCAGUGGGGAAUAUUGGACAAUGGGGGCAACCCUGAUCCAGCCAUGCCGCGUGUGUGAAGAAGGCCCUCGGGUUGUAAAGCACUUUCAGUGAGGAAGAACGCCUGGUGGUUAAUACCCAUCAGGAAAGACAUCACUCACAGAAGAAGCACCGGCUAACUCCGUGCCAGCAGCCGCGGUAAUACGGAGGGUGCGAGCGUUAAUCGGAAUUACUGGGCGUAAAGCGCGCGUAGGUGGCUUGAUAAGCCGGUUGUGAAAGCCCCGGGCUCAACCUGGGAACGGCAUCCGGAACUGUCAAGCUAGAGUGCAGGAGAGGAAGGUAGAAUUCCCGGUGUAGCGGUGAAAUGCGUAGAGAUCGGGAGGAAUACCAGUGGCGAAGGCGGCCUUCUGGACUGACACUGACACUGAGGUGCGAAAGCGUGGGUAGCAAACAGGAUUAGAUACCCAGGUAGUC
Molecule: ribosomal RNA, 465 nt
Filed under: Vreelandella stevensii
Lineage: Bacteria; Pseudomonadati; Pseudomonadota; Gammaproteobacteria; Oceanospirillales; Halomonadaceae
Description: partial 16S ribosomal RNA
Rfam family: Bacterial small subunit ribosomal RNA
Source: RNAcentral